GAACAUAAAACACACGGCUAAAGGCGUUACAUCCUGCGGCAACGCCUUUAUGACCAACAUCCUGUGAG
Molecule: small RNA, 68 nt
Filed under: Lederbergia galactosidilytica
Lineage: Bacteria; Bacillati; Bacillota; Bacilli; Caryophanales; Bacillaceae
Description: Bacillus galactosidilyticus Bacillaceae-1 RNA
Rfam family: Bacillaceae-1 RNA
Source: Rfam by way of RNAcentral